GGGCCCGCACAAGCGGUGGAGUAUGUGGUUUAAUUCGAUGCAACGCGAAGAACCUUACCAGGGUUUGACAUACACAGAAUCUUGUAGAGAUACGAGAGUGCCUUCGGGAAUUGUGAUACAGGUGCUGCAUGGCUGUCGUCAGCUCGUGUCGUGAGAUGUUGGGUUAAGUCCCGCAACGAGCGCAACCCUUGUCCUUAGUUACCAGCGGGUUAAGCCGGGAACUCUAAGGAUACUGCCAGUGACAAACUGGAGGAAGGCGGGGACGACGUCAAGUCAUCAUGGCCCUUACGACCAGGGCUACACACGUGCUACAAUGGUAGGUACAGAGGGCAGCUACACAGCGAUGUGAUGCGAAUCUCAAAAAGCCUAUCGUAGUCCAGAUCGUAGGCUGCAACUCGCCUACGUGAAGGCGGAAUCGCUAGUAAUCG
Molecule: ribosomal RNA, 428 nt
Filed under: uncultured bacterium
Lineage: Bacteria
Description: bacterial SSU rRNA
Rfam family: Bacterial small subunit ribosomal RNA
Source: RNAcentral